RNAcentral lists this ribosomal RNA (492 nucleotides) under uncultured bacterium. Its description in RNAcentral is "partial 16S ribosomal RNA". It matches the Rfam family "Bacterial small subunit ribosomal RNA", at positions 29 to 507 of the family's 1533-position model. The record is from RNAcentral.
AGUGAACGCUGGCGGUAGGCCUAACACAUGCAAGUCGAACGGCAGCACAGUAAGAGCUUGCUCUUACGGGUGGCGAGUGGCGGACGAGUGAGGAAUACAUCGGAAUCUACUUUUUCGUGGGGGAUAACGUAGGGAAACUUACGCUAAUACCGCAUACGACCUACGGGUGAAAGCAGGGGAUCUUCGGACCUUGCGCGAUUGAAUGAGCCGAUGUCGGAUUAGCUAGUUGGCGGGGUAAAGGCCCACCAAGGCGACGAUCCGUAGCUGGUCUGAGAGGAUGAUCAGCCACACUGGAACGUGGACACGGUCCAGACUCCUACGGGAGGCAGCAGUGGGGAAUAUUGGACAAUGGGCGCAAGCCUGAUCCAGCCAUACCGCGUGGGUGAAGAAGGCCUUCGGGUUGUAAAGCCCUUUUGUUGGGAAAGAAAAGCAGCAGGUUAAUACCCCGCUGUUCUGACGGUACCCAAAGAAUAAGCACCGGCUAACUUCGUG